This 1114-nucleotide ribosomal RNA is filed under the name uncultured bacterium (human infant) D29A. Its description in RNAcentral is "bacterial SSU rRNA". It matches the Rfam family "Bacterial small subunit ribosomal RNA", at positions 1 to 1087 of the family's 1533-position model. The record is from RNAcentral.
CGCGGGAUUCACGGAUCCAGAGUUUGAUCCUGGCUGAGGACGAACGCUGGCGGCGUGCCUAAUACAUGCAAGUAGAACGCUGAAGANAGGAGCUUGCUCUUCUUGGAUGAGUUGCGAACGGGUGAGUAACGCGUAGGUAACCUGCCUUGUAGCGGGGGAUAACUAUUGGAAACGAUAGCUAAUACCGCAUAACAAUGGAUGACACAUGUCAUUUAUUUGAAAGGGGCAAUUGCUCCACUACAAGAUGGACCUGCGUUGUAUUAGCUAGUAGGUGAGGUAACGGCUCACCUAGGCGACGAUACAUAGCCGACCUGAGAGGGUGAUCGGCCACACUGGGACUGAGACACGGCCCAGACUCCUACGGGAGGCAGCAGUAGGGAAUCUUCGGCAAUGGGGGCAACCCUGACCGAGCAACGCCGCGUGAGUGAAGAAGGUUUUCGGAUCGUAAAGCUCUGUUGUAAGUCAAGAACGAGUGUGAGAGUGGAAAGUUCACACUGUGACGGUAGCUUACCAGAAAGGGACGGCUAACUACGUGCCAGCAGCCGCGGUAAUACGUAGGUCCCGAGCGUUGUCCGGAUUUAUUGGGCGUAAAGCGAGCGCAGGCGGUUUGAUAAGUCUGAAGUUAAAGGCUGUGGCUCAACCAUAGUUCGCUUUGGAAACCGUCAAACUUGAGUUCAGAAGGGGAGAGUGGAAUUCCAUGUGUAGCGGUGAAAUGCGCAGAUAUAUGGAGGAACACCGGUGGCGAAAGCGGCUCUCUGGUCUGUAACUGACGCUGAGGCUCGAAAGCGUGGGGAGCGAACAGGAUUAGAUACCCUGGUAGUCCACGCCGUAAACGAUGAGUGCUAGGUGUUGGAUCCUUUCCGGGAUUCAGUGCCGCAGCUAACGCAUUAAGCACUCCGCCUGGGGAGUACGACCGCAAGGUUGAAACUCAAAGGAAUUGACGGGGGCCCGCACAAGCGGUGGAGCAUGUGGUUUAAUUCGAAGCAACGSRARGAACCUUACCAGGUCUUGACAUCCCGAUGCUAUUUCUAGAGAUAGAUAGUUACUUCGGUACAUCGGUGACAGGUGGUGMAUGGUUGUCGUCAGCUCGUGUCGUGARAUGUUGGUUAAUYCG